AAUGCUACUUCUUCUGUCCCCUUACGCAUAGCAGUCACUGGUCAGCAGGACUUCUCGUGGUGAGGAAGCCAUGUCAGGAUCCAGGCUGGUGUGCAGAUGUGAAAGUAGAGAAGACGAUUGAACAGUUGGUAGACAGUCCCCGCUGGAGAGAGGAGAGAGGGGCCUCCAGAGCAAAUCAUGUCAUUCCCAAAGCUGCCUGCUUUCCUUGGCUCUGGGCCGCACCCCCCAU
This 229-nucleotide long non-coding RNA is filed under the name Rattus norvegicus (Norway rat). RNAcentral's name for it is "long non-coding RNA NONRATT033420". The record is from RNAcentral. Lineage: Eukaryota; Metazoa; Chordata; Mammalia; Rodentia; Muridae.